This is a long non-coding RNA of Cebus imitator (Panamanian white-faced capuchin), 1520 nucleotides long. RefSeq lists it as uncharacterized. The transcript is spliced from 2 exons. NCBI's taxonomy places the organism in Eukaryota, Metazoa, Chordata, Mammalia, Primates, Cebidae. The record is from RefSeq and is a predicted model, not a curated record.
CCCUUAAAGGCUGAGCUGGCGGAGCUGGAGCAGCUGAUCAAAGACCAGCAGGACAAGAUCUGCGCAGUGAAGGCCAACAUUCUCAGGAAUGAGGAGAAAAUCCAGAAAAUGGUGUAUAGUAUCAAUUCGACCUCGCGAAGGUGAACACUCAAAAGUUUCAGAGAUGAAAAGUCACCCCAGUUUAAAAGCAAAAAGGAAGACAGAAAAUCGUUACUCUUUAAGUUCCAGUUUGCUAAGAAAAUGAACAGUUUACAAUGUUAUUAUCCAGCUAAUUUUCAGAGCUUUAAAACUGUAAGCAUGUUAAGUGUAUUAAAAACAAACAUGUUUUCUUACCUCCUUCCAGAUGAAAUACUGGCUAGUUAUAAAUAGCGCUUCCAAACACCUCUGAAAAGUUUUUCUGAAAGCCUGUUCUUUGUGUUUCUGCUUCAUCCUGUUUAGCUCUGUACCAGAACUCUCUAGCAGUACGAAUUGAAGUCUUACAAGACAGGUAAGCAUUUGGCAGAGAUUGUAAGAUCAUUUGUGAAGUUUUAGAAGGUCUCUACGUGUGAUUGUUACUGAAUCUUAUUGUAGACACUAGAUCCUGAUCUUAUUUAAUUUGAGAAAUUUAAUUUUUCUCUUAUUUUGAGAAAAUACACAAAUGGGAUUAUUUUUCUAUACUUUGGUUUGUAAGUUUUCAGGAAGUAGUGGAGUCAUACUUCAGGAAUUUAAAUUUAAAAGUUGAGCUGAUGGUAAUUUAUAUUCAAAGGAAAUGCAUAAUAAACCUUUGGAAGAAAUAGUUCAAGACUAAAAUGCAGCUUUCUACUUUUAUAUUCAUCCUUAUUUUUCUUUUUAAUAAUCAACUUUAAAAAACUGAAAUCUAUCAAGCAAAAUGCUGUCAUUUGGUGACACAAAGUGCUACUUAGGAUUUGGGCAAUGUGGAAUUGUAUUCAAUGUAUUGACAAGUGCCCCCGAACUAUUCUGGCACUGCUCUUCUGAGCUGCCCUGGACCGAAGGGUGUAUCUUCUGUUGGUCGAUGUGCCCCGUGUCGUGGCAUGUGAAUAUGAGAAAAAAUGGCCAGGGCCUCUGACCAGCUUUUGGAUCAGUAGCCAGUGCGUGAGGCAGCAGCAAGCAGGACCAGCAGCCUGUUUGGGCUUCCGUAGGAAUCCGCUUCAGAAGGAGGCCACGCCCAAGCAGGAUCACGGCUCAGCAUGUCACCAUCAGAAGGCACUCAACACCCAGGCCUGGACUUGGCUCCCUGCUCUGGGCUCCUCUUUCCACACCCAAAAGUGCAGAGAGUAAAUAACCUGGUUCAUGGCACCUCUAAGGAGACCACUGGGGGCUCCUCUGAGGGGCUCCCCGGCAAAGACGAAUGUAGCAAAGCAGAAGUGAGAAAUGUAAGUCAAGCAUGAGCCAGCCUGAGUUGGAGGGGAAGGAACAGCUGUUCUCAGCUAUCGCAAAUGCAACUGCUUGCGGCAUUUGGGCUCUGAGUCUAACUCUAGCCUAUGAGACACUUUAUUAAUAAAAACGCUUUCUAUUUUUCU